This 274-nucleotide ribosomal RNA is filed under the name uncultured bacterium. RNAcentral describes it as "partial 16S rRNA". It matches the Rfam family "Bacterial small subunit ribosomal RNA", at positions 1105 to 1382 of the family's 1533-position model. The record is from RNAcentral.
CUGCCCUUAGUUGCCACUCUUCGGAGGGCACUCUAAGGGGACCGCCGGCGAUAAGCCGAGGAAGGUGGGGAUGACGUCAGGUCAGUAUGCCCUUUAUGCCCGGGGCUACACAGGCGCUACAGUGGCCAGGACAAUGGGAAGCGACCCAGUAAUGGGGAGCAAAUCCCUAAACCUGGUCAUGGUGCAGAUUGAGGGCUGAAACUCGCCCUCAUGAAGCCGGAAACGGUAGUAAUGGCGGAUCAGCUAAGCCGCCGUGAAUACGUUCUCGGGCCUU